CGGUAGCAGGAAGUGCUUGCACUUUGCUGACGAGUGGCGGACGGGUGAGUAAUACUUAGGAAUAUGCCUUUGUGUGGGGGAUAACUAUUGGAAACGAUAGCUAAUACCGCAUAACGUCUUCGGACCAAAGGGGGCUUCGGCUCCCGCCCAGAGAGUGGCCUAAGCGAGAUUAGCUAGUUGGUGUGGUAAAGGCGCACCAAGGCGACGAUCUCUAGCUGUUCUGAGAGGAAGAUCAGCCACACUGGAACUGAGACACGGUCCAGACUCCUACGGGAGGCAGCAGUGGGGAAUAUUGCACAAUGGGGGAAACCCUGAUGCAGCCAUGCCGCGUGUGUGAAGAAGGCCUUCGGGUUGUAAAGCACUUUCAGUUGUGAGGAAAGUUUGACGGUUAAUACCCGUUAGAUGUGACGUUAGCAACAGAAGAAGGACCGGCUAACUCCGUGCCAGCAGCCGCGGUAAUACGGAGGGUCCGAGCGUUAAUCGGAAUUACUGGGCGUAAAGCGCACGCAGGCGGUUUGUUAAGCUAGAUGUGAAAGCCCCGGGCUCAACCUGGGAAUAGCAUUUAGAACUGUAUGACUAGAGUCUUGGAGAGGGGGGUGGAAUUCCAGGUGUAGCGGUG
This 619-nucleotide ribosomal RNA is filed under the name uncultured bacterium. RNAcentral's name for it is "bacterial SSU rRNA". It matches the Rfam family "Bacterial small subunit ribosomal RNA", at positions 67 to 683 of the family's 1533-position model. The record is from RNAcentral.